AAGUUAGAUACAGGUAAUGGAUAUAAAGAUUACAUUAUUUUCAUUGAUGCAUUCUUUUGAAAAUAUAUUCAGGAAAGUCAGAAUUCCAGUUCAGAUGAAGAGCAGGUGGAGGAAGCAGCAGCUGGACCGUCAGGGCUUCAGCUGGAUCUCCAACCUCUCUUUUGAUUGUGUCUCCUGAACAAAGGACUAAAUCCUGAAGAUGGGCGUGUGAAACAAAACCUCACCCACUUCAGCAGGAUGAGACUUCAUGUGGGGUCUUUGUACUGAAGGUCUGUAUCACAGCAUGAUUAAAGAACAAUGUGAGGAUUUGACUGAAAGACAUUUUGAAUCUCCAGCAGCAAGACAAACAAAUUGAAUAUGUUAAACCCCCAAAUUGUCCAUCUUCCACCUCCACCUCCUCCUCUGGGCCAUCCACAGGUCAUUGGGCUCCUCGAGCUCCGAUGCCUCUGUAAACACUGCAGUGGACUCUCCCAUCAUCAAGAGUAAGUUUGAUCAUUUGUUAAAGAGAAUUAAUGAUAUAUUUUAAACAUUUUGAAAAGUACUGCUAAAUGUUAAACAUCAAAACACACUUUGUGGUGCCUUGUCCUGUUUUAGUUGGGCUUUUUAAAAUAUAUUAUGCACAUUUUAAGCUAAAAACUGUAAAUUAUGUCACAGACAUGUGUUGUCCGAGGUCUCAAGAAUCACUGAUACUGACACACAAUUUUAUUUUCUCCAGCCUCACCAACAUCAUGCUGCACAGCGGCCUACAUCCGCAAACAAAUUGUAAACGACUAUUGAAGCUACUCUGUUUAAUUGGAUCCUCCACUAUAAAACAGAUGGCAUUCAAUCCCCAUCAUAUGACGGCUUCCCAAAAGACAAACUUUAACAGUCUCAAAACAUUGAUGUGCAGGUGA
Molecule: long non-coding RNA, 893 nt
Filed under: Sparus aurata (gilthead seabream)
Lineage: Eukaryota; Metazoa; Chordata; Actinopteri; Spariformes; Sparidae
Description: lncRNA (ENSSAUG00010005201.1)
Source: RNAcentral